AAAGGGCGCGUAGGCGGAAUGCUUUGUCGGGCGUGAAAUUCCAGGGCUUAACCUUGGGACUGCGUUCGAGACGGGUAUUCUAGAGUGGAGAAGAGGGUCGUGGAAUUCCCAGUGUAGAGGUGAAAUUCGUAGAUAUUGGGAAGAACACCGGUGGCGAAGGCGGCGACCUGGUCUUUUACUGACGCUGAGGCGCGAAAGCGUGGGGAGCAAACAGGAUUAGAUACCCCGGU
RNAcentral lists this ribosomal RNA (230 nucleotides) under uncultured bacterium. RNAcentral describes it as "partial 16S ribosomal RNA". It matches the Rfam family "Bacterial small subunit ribosomal RNA", at positions 562 to 791 of the family's 1533-position model. The record is from RNAcentral.